CAGGAUCCUCAGUUAUCAAAACAGUCAUCAUCAUGUAUUCUUUUUUCAUGCAUUUCCAAGGCGGCAAAUUAUAUGGGAAUGCGAAAAUCGGCCAAGUGCUGUGGUGUUGGUUUAGAACCCCAUACGGAUUGAAUCCGUCAGUGGCAAGUCCCAAUCUUACAUUUCGGGGAUCAGCAGCAAACUCGGGGAACGUUCGAUCGAACUCUUUCCAUGCCUCCCCAUCUGCAGGAUGCCGCAUCACAUCAUCGUCUACCC
This 255-nucleotide long non-coding RNA is filed under the name Prunus persica (peach). RNAcentral's name for it is "long non-coding RNA (PPER_LNC004517)". Lineage: Eukaryota; Viridiplantae; Streptophyta; Magnoliopsida; Rosales; Rosaceae. The record is from RNAcentral.